Molecule: ribosomal RNA, 465 nt
Filed under: Vreelandella stevensii
Lineage: Bacteria; Pseudomonadati; Pseudomonadota; Gammaproteobacteria; Oceanospirillales; Halomonadaceae
Description: partial 16S ribosomal RNA
Rfam family: Bacterial small subunit ribosomal RNA
Source: RNAcentral
CCUACGGGUGGCAGCAGUGGGGAAUAUUGGACAAUGGGCGAAAGCCUGAUCCAGCCAUGCCGCGUGUGUGAAGAAGGCCUUCGGGUUGUAAAGCACUUUCAGUGGGGAAGAAAGCCUUGGGGCUAAUACCCUCGAGGAAGGACAUCACCCACAGAAGAAGCACCGGCUAACUCCGUGCCAGCAGCCGCGGUAAUACGGAGGGUGCGAGCGUUAAUCGGAAUUACUGGGCGUAAAGCGCGCGUAGGCGGUCUGAUAAGCCGGUUGUGAAAGCCCCGGGCUCAACCUGGGAACGGCAUCCGGAACUGCCAGGCUAGAGUGCAGGAGAGGAAGGUAGAAUUCCCGGUGUAGCGGUGAAAUGCGUAGAGAUCGGGAGGAAUACCAGUGGCGAAGGCGGCCUUCUGGACUGACACUGACGCUGAGGUGCGAAAGCGUGGGUAGCAAACAGGAUUAGCUACCCGUGUAGUC